RNAcentral lists this ribosomal RNA (279 nucleotides) under uncultured bacterium. Its description in RNAcentral is "partial 16S ribosomal RNA". It matches the Rfam family "Bacterial small subunit ribosomal RNA", at positions 506 to 784 of the family's 1533-position model. The record is from RNAcentral.
UGCCAGCCGCCGCGGUAAUACGUAGGGGGAAAGCGUUGUCCGGAUUUACUGGGUGUAAAGGGCGCGUAGGCGGGUUUGUAAGUCAGAGGUGAAAUCCUGCGGCUCAACCGUAGAACUGCCUUUGAAACUACAAACCUUGAGUUUGGAAGAGAGAGAUGGAAUUCCAGGUGUAGUGGUGAAAUACGUAGAUAUCUGGAAGAACACCAGUGUCGAAGGCGAUCUCUUAGUCCAUAACUGACGCUGAGUCGCGACAGCGUGGGGCGCAAACAGUAUUCGAUA